UGCAGCAGUUGAUACUUCUUAUACACAUAUUGGGCCGUAAGAGCUCGUAGGCGGUUUGUCGCGUCUGCUGUGAAAGACCGGGGCUCAACUCCGGUUCUGCAGUGGGUACGGGCAGACUAGAGUGCAGUAGGGGAGACUGGAAUUCCUGGUGUAGCGGUGAAAUGCGCAGAUAUCAGGAGGAACACCGAUGGCGAAGGCAGGUCUCUGGGCUGUAACUGACGCUGAGGAGCGAAAGCAUGGGGAGCGAACAGGAUUAGAUACCCUGGUAGUCCAUGCCGUAAACGUUGGGCACUAGGUGUGGGGGACAUUCCACGUUUUCCGCGCCGUAGCUAACGCAUUAAGUGCCCCGCCUGGGGAGUACGGCCGCAAGGCUAAAACUCAAAGGAAUUGACGGGGGCCCGCACAAGCGGCGGAGCAUGCGGAUUAAUUCGAUGCAACGCGAAGAACCUUACCAAGGCUUGACAUGAACCGGUAAUACCUGGAAACAGGUGCCCCGCUUGCGGUCGGUUUACAGGUGGUGCAUGGUUGUCGUCAGCUCGUGUCGUGAGAUGUUGGGUUAAGUCCCGCAACGAGCGCAACCCUCGUUCUAUGUUGCCAGCGGUUCGGCCGGGGACUCAUAGGAGACUGCCGGGGUCAACUCGGAGGAAGGUGGGGACGACGUCAAAUCAUCAUGCCCCUUAUGUCUUGGGCUUCACGCAUGCUACAAUGGCCGGUACAAAGGGUUGCGAUACUGUGAGGUGGAGCUAAUCCCAAAAAGCCGGUCUCAGUUCGGAUUGGGGUCUGCAACUCGACCCCAUGAAGUCGGAGUCGCUAGUAAUCGCAGAUCAGCAACGCUGCGGUGAAUACGUUCCCGGGUCUUGUACACACCGCCCGUCAAGUCACGAAAGUUGGUAACACCCGAAGCCGGUGGCCUAACUCUUUGUGGGGGGAGCCGUCGAAGUGGGUACCGGCGAUUGGGACUAAGUCGUACCAAGGUACCACC
This 982-nucleotide ribosomal RNA is filed under the name Arthrobacter boritolerans. RNAcentral's name for it is "bacterial SSU rRNA". It matches the Rfam family "Bacterial small subunit ribosomal RNA". Lineage: Bacteria; Bacillati; Actinomycetota; Actinomycetes; Micrococcales; Micrococcaceae. The record is from RNAcentral.